UACGGAGGGUGCAAGCGUUAUCCGGAUUCACUGGGCGUAAAGGGUGCGCAGGCGGUUGGGUGUGUCAGAUGUGAAAUCCCGAGGCUUAACCUCGGAACUGCGUCUGAAACUACUCGACUAGAGUACUGGAGAGGGAAACGGAAUUCACGGUGUAGCAGUGAAAUGCGUAGAUAUCGUGAGGAACACCAGAGGCGAAGGCGGUUUCCUGGACAGUUACUGACGCUCAGGCACGAAAGCAUGGGGAGCAAAAGGG
Molecule: ribosomal RNA, 253 nt
Filed under: uncultured bacterium
Lineage: Bacteria
Description: partial 16S ribosomal RNA
Rfam family: Bacterial small subunit ribosomal RNA
Source: RNAcentral